UGAUUCUAAUCUUAGGUCUAACCCAAUUAAGAAGAUCUGAUCAAGCUAACCCAUAAACCCAUAAACCCAUUACCCCAUGUUUUAUGUGAAUGUCAUUAGAUUUAUAAUUCACAAUUUUAGAUCCAAUUGGUUCAGCUUAAUUCUCAAUUAAGUAUAUUAUCAACAUGAGUUUAGGUUUAAGUUUUGAAAUAAUUUCAAUUUUAUAAAUAUUUUACAACUAAUUUAUGCAAAAGUAUAUCAGUUCUGAAACUGGGUCGGCUCCUUCCUAGACUGAGUCAGCUCACUUCAGUGGGUCGACUAAGUCUACUACUUG
This 313-nucleotide long non-coding RNA is filed under the name Elaeis guineensis (African oil palm). RNAcentral describes it as "long non-coding RNA (EGUI_LNC061111)". Lineage: Eukaryota; Viridiplantae; Streptophyta; Magnoliopsida; Arecales; Arecaceae. The record is from RNAcentral.